UACGUAGGGUGCAAGCGUUAUCCGGAAUUAUUGGGCGUAAAGGGCUCGUAGGCGGUUUGUCGCGUCGGGAGUGAAAUCCACUGGCUUAACUGGUGGCUUGCUUUCGAUACGGGCAGACUGGAGGUAUGCAGGGGAGAACGGAAUUCCUGGUGUAGCGGUGAAAUGCGCAGAUAUCAGGAGGAACACCGGUGGCGAAGGCGGGUCUCUGGGCCGAUACUGACGCUGAGGAGCGAAAGCGUGGGGAGCGAACAGG
Molecule: ribosomal RNA, 253 nt
Filed under: uncultured bacterium
Lineage: Bacteria
Description: partial 16S ribosomal RNA
Rfam family: Bacterial small subunit ribosomal RNA
Source: RNAcentral